Molecule: ribosomal RNA, 428 nt
Filed under: uncultured bacterium
Lineage: Bacteria
Description: partial 16S ribosomal RNA
Rfam family: Bacterial small subunit ribosomal RNA
Source: RNAcentral
GUGGGGAAUAUUGGGCAAUGGGCGAAAGCCUGACCCAGCAACGCCGCGUGAAGGAAGAAGGCUUUCGGGUUGUAAACUUCUUUUGUCAGGGACGAAAAAAAUGACGGUACCUGACGAAUAAGCCACGGCUAACUACGUGCCAGCAGCCGCGGUAAUACGUAGGUGGCAAGCGUUAUCCGGAUUUACUGGGUGCAAAGGGCGUGUAGGCGGUAAAGCAAGUCAGAUGUGAAAACUAUGGGCUCAACCCAUAGCCUGCAUUUGAAACUGUUUUUCUUGAGUACUGGAGAGGCAGAUGGAAUUCCUAGUGUAGCGGUGAAAUGCGUAGAUAUUAGGAGGAACACCAGUGGCGAAGGCGAUCUGCUGGACAGCAACUGACGCUGAGGCGCGAAAGCGUGGGGAGCAAACAGGAUUAGAUACCCCUGUAGUCC